RNAcentral lists this non-coding RNA (176 nucleotides) under Nitrosomonas sp. RNAcentral describes it as "6S RNA". It matches the Rfam family "6S / SsrS RNA". Rfam says of the family: E. coli 6S RNA was the first non coding RNA to be sequenced, but its function was unknown until recently. It consists of 184 nucleotides that fold into an extended hairpin structure with a large single-stranded internal bulge. The 6S RNA specifically associates with RNA polymerase holoenzyme containing the sigma70 specificity factor. The record is from RNAcentral. Lineage: Bacteria; Pseudomonadati; Pseudomonadota; Betaproteobacteria; Nitrosomonadales; Nitrosomonadaceae.
UAAUCCCUGCGAUGUUUGUUAAGGUUUAUAUUCUUUGAACCAAUUGUUAAAAACUGGUUGUGGAUUUUAGUGACACUGUUGUGCGCGUCUUAUGGAUGUGCCUGAUGUGUCCAUGAAACAGCCGCCUUGAACCGUAUGGUUCAAGAUGAUAACCUGACGGCAUAUGUGGGGAGCCA